AUUGAACGCUGGCGGCAGGCCUAACACAUGCAAGUCGAGCGGAUGAAGGGAGCUUGCUCCUGGAUUCAGCGGCGGACGGGUGAGUAAUGCCUAGGAAUCUGCCUGGUAGUGGGGGAUAACGUCCGGAAACGGGCGCUAAUACCGCAUACGUCCUGAGGGGGAAAGUGGGGGAUCUUCGGACCUCACGCUAUCAGAUGAGCCUAGGUCGGAUUAGCUAGUUGGUGGGGUAAAGGCCUACCAAGGCGACGAUCCGUAACUGGUCUGAGAGGAUGAUCAGUCACACUGGAACUGAGACACGGUCCAGACUCCUACGGGAGGCAGCAGUGGGGAAUAUUGGACAAUGGGCGAAAGCCUGAUCCAGCCAUGCCGCGUGUGUGAAGAAGGUCUUCGGAUUGUAAAGCACUUUAAGUUGGGAGGAAGGGCAGUAAGUUAAUACCUUGCUGUUUUGACGUUACCAACAGGAUAAGCACCGGCUAACUUCGUG
This 484-nucleotide ribosomal RNA is filed under the name uncultured bacterium. Its description in RNAcentral is "partial 16S ribosomal RNA". It matches the Rfam family "Bacterial small subunit ribosomal RNA", at positions 30 to 507 of the family's 1533-position model. The record is from RNAcentral.